AGAAACUGUGUAAUCGCAGAGGAAGGAUGUAACAGUUUGUAUGUAAAGAAUUCUUGAACCGAUUCUACAAGACAUUGAUAGACAGAGGAGUUAACUUUUCGCUGGACACGAUAGAGAAAGAAUUGAUCAGCUUUUGCUUGGACACCAAAGGAAAAGAAAACCGCCUGUGCUAUUAUCUAGGAGCCACAAAAGACGCAGCCACAAAGAUCCUAAGUGAAGUCACACGCCCAAUGAGUGUGCAUAUGCCUGCAAUGAAGAUUUGUGAGAAGCUGAAGAAGUUGGAUAGCCAGAUCUGUGAGCUGAAAUAUGAAAAAACACUGGACUUGGCAUCAGUUGACCUGCGGAAGAUGAGAGUGGCAGAGCUGAAGCAGAUCCUGCAUAGCUGGGGGGAGGAGUGCAGGGCCUGUGCAGAAAAAACUGAUUAUGUGAAUCUCAUCCAAGAGCUGGCCCCCAAGUAUGCAGAGACAGACCCCAAAACAGAGCUCUGAUCUCCAACGCCAGCACAUUUGUGACUUGUAAUUAGAGAGAAAAAUGACUCUCUAGGAUAUGGACAUGUUGAUUAAGGAUAACUGGGAAUGCA
Molecule: small RNA, 580 nt
Filed under: Pongo abelii (Sumatran orangutan)
Lineage: Eukaryota; Metazoa; Chordata; Mammalia; Primates; Hominidae
Description: processed transcript
Source: RNAcentral